GCCCUCGUGGCGGAAUUGGCUAUACGCGCAGCGUUCAGAACGCUGUCCCGCAAGGGUUAGAGGUUCAAAUCCUCUCGAGGGCACCA
Molecule: transfer RNA, 86 nt
Filed under: bacterium
Lineage: Bacteria
Also listed under: 1 other name
Description: tRNA-Leu
Rfam family: tRNA
About the family: Transfer RNA (tRNA) molecules are approximately 80 nucleotides in length. Their secondary structure includes four short double-helical elements and three loops (D, anti-codon, and T loops).
Source: RNAcentral